CAGCCGCCGCGGGAAUACGUAGGGUGCAAGCGUUAAUCGGAAUUACUGGGCGUAAAGCGUGCGCAGGCGGAUCUAUAAGACAGAUGUGAAAUCCCCGGGCUCAACCUGGAACUGCAUUUGUGACUGUAGAGCUGGAGUGCGGCAGAGGGGGAUGGAAUUCCGCGUGUAGCAGUGAAAUGCGUAGAGAUGUGGAGGAAUACCGAUGGCGGAGGCAGCCCCCUGGGAUAACACUGACGCUCAUGCACGAAAGCGUGGGGAGCAAACAGGAUUAGAUACCCGGGUAGUCCCUGUCUCUUAUACA
RNAcentral lists this ribosomal RNA (301 nucleotides) under uncultured bacterium. RNAcentral describes it as "partial 16S ribosomal RNA". It matches the Rfam family "Bacterial small subunit ribosomal RNA", at positions 509 to 808 of the family's 1533-position model. The record is from RNAcentral.